CUUCACUGAGCUCUGCCUAUCACCUACUAAGGACUGCAAACAGCUCACAUCUGCAGCUGGAAAGUGACUUACACCUUGCUCACAAACUAGCAGCAGCAGUACAUGGAAGGCUCGGCAAAACUGUCUGCAGUAAGUCAUGUUUGAUUAAGGGAUCUUUUCUACAGUUAAUUCCCUAAAAUCCAGAGGGAAGACAAAGAAAUGAUUGGCAAUAUUGGUGGCCGAAUAUGAAAAGAAAGGACAACACAGUAACAGAAACAAAUCGCACUGCAUCAGUUGUGACCAUGAAGACUCACUCCAAACAGCAUGGGAUCCUAUUUUUGGGUCUCAAUCCAGAGAUCCAUAGGGUUAUGAAACAAUGUCUUAUCAUCUCCUACCAGAAUAAUGGUGAAGGAGUUUCCAUUUACUAAACAAAUGAUGGCACUUAAUGUGCAAAAGCAAAGAAAUAUCCAAAGAGGAGAGUGUGAAUAGGGAAGAAUGGAAAACAGUUGGCGGAAAUAAAGAAGGAGGCAAAACAAUAAAUGAUCUUGGCAACUAUCAAAGGCUGCACUGUGCUAGAUAGCCGGAAAAGCUGCAUUAUAAAGCAACUUGCCAACAGAAUGGUUUGAGCUUCCUGGAUGUGCCUGGAGAACACACAAGCAUUCACUGUUCUACAGGGGCCCUUAGUAAGGAUUCCUUAUGUACAAGCUCUGAACAUGACAAGAACUGCUUUGCAUUGUCAUUUUCACUGUUUAGUGAAAAUUGUGAGGAAGAACAACACAAAAGGGUAUUUUAAAAUAUAAUUUUGAAUAUUAUAUCAUUAAAACAAGGCUAAAUAUGAAUAGAUUUAAUAAAUCUUCAUUAUAACAAGGUGGCAGUUGAGUAAACAGAAGUUCAUGAGGCCAAAUGCAGGAUUUGGUCCAGGGUCACAUAAUUGUCUCCUCAAAUAUACAUGCUCUAAACACCAACCAGUUUUUGAAUCCACAUAUACCAUUGCUGACCCAUUCAGCCCCUAAAUGUGGGUUUCUGCUCUGCUUUUUGGGGUUUUUUUUGGCAUAGAUAGUUGCCAUUGCAUUAUACAGCCCCUUAAAGGCCAGACAUUGGUGCUGCCUCAAUAUGUACACCAAAAGUAAUUAUGCACCAGCAGGGUGACACUGUUUUCAAAGCCUAAAAUGCAUUUUAGAUAUUUUAUACAACAUGUCUCUGUACAACAAGACUCAUUCAUGCAAAAGCCCUACACAAUUCUUUCUUCAUCCUCCACAUUCAAUAGCAGUGGAGUUAACCUUUCUUUUUUUUAAUAAGCCCCACUUUGAGGCUCAAUUAGUCAGGACCCCUACAGCCAAUAAAAAGGUGACAGAAUGAAAAUAUUGCUGUAUCAGACUUUCAUCUAAAGUUGCAGAAUUGCAACUAUAGAUUGGACAAGUUGGACAAGUUAUUAAAGUUUGAUAUUUUAACCAAUGGUAAGAGGUGUCUUUCCAUGCUGGAAAUCAGUAAUCCCCAAUUAAUUUGUAUUAUGUGACAUUUGAUUUUCAGAGAGUAUCAAUUUGGUGGGGAAUUAGAGCUCAGUAAUGCCGCCAAACCAUUGAACUCCUCAUAAAACAGAUAGCAGUAAUUUAAACUCCAGAUAAAAACACAAUCUAACAAGGCUUUUCUAAGACAAGAUAUGUCUCAGAGGACACUGAAGGAAAAGUGGGAGAUUGAAUAAAAAUUUAAAUAAAACUUAAUUUUAAAAAA
This is a long non-coding RNA of Xenopus tropicalis (tropical clawed frog), 1710 nucleotides long. RefSeq lists it as uncharacterized. The record is from RefSeq and is a predicted model, not a curated record. The transcript is spliced from 5 exons. Lineage: Eukaryota; Metazoa; Chordata; Amphibia; Anura; Pipidae.